This 373-nucleotide ribosomal RNA is filed under the name uncultured organism. RNAcentral's name for it is "bacterial SSU rRNA". It matches the Rfam family "Bacterial small subunit ribosomal RNA", at positions 527 to 896 of the family's 1533-position model. The record is from RNAcentral.
CGGGGGGGCAAGCGUUGUUCGGAAUUACUGGGCGUAAAGGGCGCGUAGGCGGCCUGCUAAGUCGGACGUGAAAUCCCUCGGCUCAACCGGGGAACUGCGUCCGAUACGUGGUGGGCUCGAAUCCGGGAGAGGGAUGUGGAAUUCCAGGUGUAGCGGUGAAAUGCGUAGAUAUCUGGAGGAACACCGGUGGCGAAGGCGGCAUCCUGGACCGGUAUUGACGCUGAUGCGCGAAAGCCAGGGGAGCAAACGGGAUUAGAUACCCCGGUAGUCCUGGCCCUAAACGAUGAGUGCUUGGUGUGGCGGGUAUCGGAUCCCUGCCGUGCCGAAGCUAACGCAUUAAGCACUCCGCCUGGGGAGUACGGUCGCAAGGCUG